This 200-nucleotide ribosomal RNA is filed under the name uncultured bacterium. RNAcentral's name for it is "partial 16S ribosomal RNA". It matches the Rfam family "Bacterial small subunit ribosomal RNA", at positions 1301 to 1500 of the family's 1533-position model. The record is from RNAcentral.
UAGUCUGCAACUCGACUACAUGAAGCUGGAAUCGCUAGUAAUCGCGAAUCAGAAUGUCGCGGUGAAUACGUUCCCGGGUCUUGUACACACCGCCCGUCACACCAUGGGAGUUGGGAAUGCCCGAAGCCGGUGACCUAACCGAAAGGGAGGAGCCGUCGAAGGCAGGCUUGAUAACUGGGGUGAAGUCGUAACAAGGUAGC